UGCCACGUAGCCAAGCGGUAAGGCUUCGGACUCUGACUCCGACAUUCGAUGGUUCGAAUCCAUCCGUGGCAACCA
This 75-nucleotide transfer RNA is filed under the name Mycoplasmatota bacterium. RNAcentral describes it as "Tenericutes bacterium (anaerobic digester metagenome) tRNA-Gln". It matches the Rfam family "tRNA". Rfam says of the family: Transfer RNA (tRNA) molecules are approximately 80 nucleotides in length. Their secondary structure includes four short double-helical elements and three loops (D, anti-codon, and T loops). The record is from RNAcentral. Lineage: Bacteria; Bacillati; Mycoplasmatota.